AAACUUCUAUUAUGCACUUUUAAUCAAAGACAAGCUAAACUUUUUCCCUUACUGGUCCACCACUGUAGUUCCUCUUCCUCUUCUCUUUAUUGGUCCAUCGAGCUGGAAGGCUGCUCCAAACCAACUGGUUCAUCGAGCAGGAAGGUUGGUCCACUAAGAUCAGAGAAGAGAGGAAUGAGAGACUGAAAGAUUGUUUACAAAAAUUUUUCCUGCUGUAAAUGAGAGUGUUGAGGGUUAGUGUGAUAG
Molecule: unclassified non-coding RNA, 246 nt
Filed under: Hevea brasiliensis (rubber tree)
Lineage: Eukaryota; Viridiplantae; Streptophyta; Magnoliopsida; Malpighiales; Euphorbiaceae
Source: RNAcentral